GACGAACGCUGGCGGCGUGCCUAACACAUGCAAGUCGAGCGGGGUCCAUCCGGUAGCAAUACCGGGGAAGACCUAGCGGCGAACGGGUGAGUAACACGUGAGAAACCUGCCCCGAAGUCUGGGAUAACCCGAGGAAACUCGAGCUAAUACCGGAUGUCUUCUUCUGAUCGCAUGGUCGGAUGAAGAAAAGAUUUAUCGCUUCGGGAGGGUCUCGCGGCCUAUCAGCUAGUUGGCGGGGUAACGGCCCACCAAGGCGUCGACGGGUAGCUGGUCUGAGAGGACGAUCAGCCACACUGGGACUGAGACACGGCCCAGACUCCUACGGGAGGCAGCAGUGGGGAAUAUUGCGCAAUGGGCGAAAGCCUGACGCAGCAACGCCGCGUGCGGGAUGAAGGCCUUCGGGUUGUAAACCGCUUUCAGUGGGACGAAUUCAGACGGUACCCACAGAAGAAGCCCCGGCCAACUACGUGCCAGCAGCCGC
This 481-nucleotide ribosomal RNA is filed under the name uncultured bacterium. Its description in RNAcentral is "bacterial SSU rRNA". It matches the Rfam family "Bacterial small subunit ribosomal RNA", at positions 28 to 518 of the family's 1533-position model. The record is from RNAcentral.